RNAcentral lists this ribosomal RNA (253 nucleotides) under uncultured bacterium. RNAcentral's name for it is "partial 16S ribosomal RNA". It matches the Rfam family "Bacterial small subunit ribosomal RNA", at positions 524 to 776 of the family's 1533-position model. The record is from RNAcentral. RNAcentral also lists the same sequence under 1 other name.
UACAGAGGUCUCAAGCGUUGUUCGGAUUCAUUGGGCGUAAAGGGUGCGUAGGCGGCGAGGUAAGUCGGAUGUGAAAUCCCGGGGCUUAACCCCGGAACUGCAUUCGAUACUGCCCUGCUCGAGUACUGGAGAGGAGACUGGAAUUUACGGUGUAGCAGUGAAAUGCGUAGAUAUCGUAAGGAAGACCAGUGGCGAAGGCGAGUCUCUGGACAGUUACUGACGCUGAGGCACGAAGGCCAGGGGAGCAAACGGG